UGUGGCUUGUCCACUUGUCGGGGGCUCCGGCGCCAGCGCCACACACAUGUGCUGUGAGCGCCUGAGCCAUGGUGGCUGCA
This 80-nucleotide microRNA precursor is filed under the name Equus caballus (horse). RNAcentral describes it as "mir-8932 microRNA precursor family". It matches the Rfam family "mir-8932 microRNA precursor family". Lineage: Eukaryota; Metazoa; Chordata; Mammalia; Perissodactyla; Equidae. The record is from Rfam by way of RNAcentral.